This 410-nucleotide ribosomal RNA is filed under the name Pseudomonas sp. enrichment culture. Its description in RNAcentral is "bacterial SSU rRNA". It matches the Rfam family "Bacterial small subunit ribosomal RNA", at positions 352 to 753 of the family's 1533-position model. Lineage: Bacteria; Pseudomonadati; Pseudomonadota; Gammaproteobacteria; Pseudomonadales; Pseudomonadaceae. The record is from RNAcentral.
CAGUGGGGAAUAUUGGACAAUGGGCGAAAGCCUGAUCCAGCCAUGCCGCGUGUGUGAAGAAGGUCUUCGGAUUGUAAAGCACUUUAAGUUGGGAGGAAGGGCAGUUACCUAAUACGUGAUUGUUUUGACGUUACCGACAGAAUAAGCACCGGCUAACUCUGUGCCAGCAGCCGCGGUAAUACAGAGGGUGCAAGCGUUAAUCGGAAUUACUGGGCGUAAAGCGCGCGUAGGUGGUUUGUUAAGUUGGAUGUGAAAUCCCCGGGCUCAACCUGGGAACUGCAUUCAAAACUGACUGACUAGAGUAUGGUAGAGGGUGGUGGAAUUUCCUGUGUAGCGGUGAAAUGCGUAGAUAUAGGAAGGAACACCAGUGGCGAAGGCGACCACCUGGACUAAUACUGACACUGAGGGCG